AAAUCAAUAACAACAAUCACAUAAAUAGUUAAUUAAUCUUGCAUUACCACAAAACUUGGAAAAGAAAAUGGAGAAGGCAACAAUCCUUAAGGUUUUCUUGAUCUUCGUUUUGCUUAUAUUGCUUGGACAAGGAAGUCAUGCAAAACGAGCUUGCUCUAAUGAUGCUGAUUGUGCAAAGUUUAUUAGAUGCAUAGAUUCAAAACCCACAUGUGACUUGAAAAAACAUAGGUGCUUCUGUCCACCUCCUCCAAAUUAUGAAACAAAAAGAGUUCAGAAGAGUCGCCAAAACUAAUUUACAAUGUUUGUUAUUCAUAUGCAAAAUUGAACCAAGAUUUAUGUAUUUCCUUUUCAUAUAUAUAUAUAUAUAUAUAUGGUUCAAUAAAUAAAGAACCUUUUUGUCA
Molecule: long non-coding RNA, 401 nt
Organism: Solanum pennellii
Lineage: Eukaryota; Viridiplantae; Streptophyta; Magnoliopsida; Solanales; Solanaceae
Exons: 2
Source: RefSeq, a predicted model, not a curated record